This 155-nucleotide microRNA precursor is filed under the name Choloepus hoffmanni (Hoffmann's two-fingered sloth). Its description in RNAcentral is "miRNA (ENSCHOG00000014420.1)". The stretch from base 52 to 103 matches the Rfam family "mir-1302 microRNA precursor family". The record is from RNAcentral. Lineage: Eukaryota; Metazoa; Chordata; Mammalia; Pilosa; Megalonychidae.
AGUACAAGAGAUCAGGUUACAUUUGGAGUUCAGAUAAACAAUGAAUUGUGUUUUUUAGUAUAAGUAUGUCCCGUGCGGUGUUUGGGAUAUACUUAUGCUAAAAGAAUUAUUUGUUGUUUACCUGAAACUCAAAUUUAACUGGCCAUCUGGGAUUU